This 511-nucleotide ribosomal RNA is filed under the name uncultured bacterium. Its description in RNAcentral is "bacterial SSU rRNA". It matches the Rfam family "Bacterial small subunit ribosomal RNA", at positions 8 to 518 of the family's 1533-position model. The record is from RNAcentral.
AGAGUUGAUCAUGGCUCAGGACGAACGCUGGCGGCGUGCUUAACACAUGCAAGUCGAACGGGGAUCACGUUGGAAGUCUCGGGAUGGAAGAUGUGAUUGAGUGGCGGACGGGUGAGUAACGCGUGAGCAACCUGUCCCAGACAGGGGAAUAACACUUGGAAACAGGUGCUAAUACCGCAUAAGACCACGGGGUCGCAUGGCCCAGGGGUAAAAGGAGUAAUCCGGUUUGGGGUGGGCUCGCGUCCGAUUAGAUAGUUGGUGAGGUAACGGCCCACCAAGUCGACGAUCGGUAGCCGACCUGAGAGGGUGAUCGGCCGCAUUGGAACUGAGAGACGGUCCAAACUCCUACGGGAGGCAGCAGUGGGGAAUAUUGGGCAAUGGGCGAAAGCCUGACCCAAGCAACGCCGCGUGAGUGAAGAAGGCUUUCGGGUUGUAAAGCUCUGUUAUGAGGGACGAAGGAAGUGACGGUACCUCAUAAGGAAGCCCCGGCUAACUACGUGCCAGCAGCUGC